AUGGCGGAAGGAAAAGGGGCCACGACAAAGAAUCCGAAAAUGAUGCCACGACAACAUAACGGUUCCGGCCAUGGAGAUGACAGGCAGCAGGAGGCUGCUAGUGGAGGCAGAGCCACAACGAGGAGGUCCUGCUCCGGUGGCUACAAGUGGUGGACGGACGCAGGCAGCGUCAAGGCUUCGGGCGCGAGGGAGAAGGAGCCGGUGCGAGGUGGCUGGCGGAGGAGAGCAUCUCACGCGUAG
This 240-nucleotide ribosomal RNA is filed under the name Triticum aestivum (bread wheat). RNAcentral's name for it is "partial small subunit ribosomal RNA". The record is from RNAcentral. Lineage: Eukaryota; Viridiplantae; Streptophyta; Magnoliopsida; Poales; Poaceae.